Passer domesticus (house sparrow) is the source of this 285-nucleotide long non-coding RNA. RefSeq lists it as uncharacterized. The transcript is spliced from 3 exons. NCBI's taxonomy places the organism in Eukaryota, Metazoa, Chordata, Aves, Passeriformes, Passeridae. The record is from RefSeq and is a predicted model, not a curated record.
GAUGAAGUUCCUGCUUACAAGCUGUAAUCACAGACAAGGGAUAAAGGAUGUGUUGUCCUUGCUACUAAAUAUUCAUGCAUGUGUGGAACCAGACAGGUGAGAGAAAAGAAACACUAAAACAUUCCCAGUAUGGGGAAAAAAGUGAGUUUGAUUGUUCAUCUGCUAGCUGUGGGUUCAAAUUUAUGAGAAAGAGUUCUGCAUUGAAGUAAACUGAAACUGAUCUGAAGAAAGAAACAGGUACAUUACAAAGCAUGAAAAAGUGUAAACAGUUGAGGCUCAACAACU